This 305-nucleotide ribosomal RNA is filed under the name uncultured bacterium. Its description in RNAcentral is "bacterial SSU rRNA". It matches the Rfam family "Bacterial small subunit ribosomal RNA", at positions 336 to 638 of the family's 1533-position model. The record is from RNAcentral.
CGCCUACGGGGGGCAGCAGUGAGGAAUAUUGGUCAAUGGGCGGGAGCCUGAACCAGCCAAGUCGCGUGAGGGAAGACGGUCCUAUGGAUUGUAAACCUCUUUAGGCGGGGAGCAAUGCCGGGCACGUGUGCCCGGAGGGAGAGUACCCGCAGAAUAGGCAUCGGCUAACUCCGUGCCAGCAGCCGCGGUAAUACGGAGGAUGCGAGCGUUAUCCGGAUUUAUUGGGUUUAAAGGGUGCGUAGGCGGAUUUUUAAGUCAGCGGUAAAAUGUCCGGGCUCAACCCCGCCGAGCCGUCGGAACUGGGG